CCGUGGACGGGCCGCGAGGCACGAGAGGGCGGGCAAGAAAGGAGAUGAUGGGGCAAAACUGCCGGCGAUUCCUCCGGCCUUCCAAGAAGCGGUGGUGGUUCCAUCUUUAUGGAGGUUUCUUCCAUCCGUUUUCCUUCUUCUCCUCCUCACCCAGAUACUGUCGCCUCCUCUUCUUCCGACGGCAGACAAGGCUCACCAUGACACAGCUGGAGCGUCUCAAGGUGGAGGAGAAGGUCUUCGAAAUCGACCGCGUCAUCCAUGGCACUGCCUCUCUCAUCCAGCCGCCCUUCGUGUUUUUGUUUUAUAAUAUGAAAAAGUGGUUGGCAAUGAAAGCUCUGUUCAUUUCAACUGUCAAGCAUAUGAAGUUGGUUUUGCCGGAGAGAUGCCAUAAGUGAGCUCAAAAUUGCAGAUGAACAUUUUAUAUGUUAGGAGAAGCGUGAAUCCUUUAAUUAAAAAGAAGACUUUGUUGGUGCACCACAGGUUCCUGAUCUCUAGCAGUAAGGCGUGAAGCUGACAAAGUAAAAGGAGCAACGAGGAAAUGAAUCAACGGUAAAAAGCUGAAGGCCAAUCGCUGAGCUACCCCUUAUUUUGAGUGUAUUACUAUCGAUUUACAACGAGGAAAUGAAUCAACGAGAGCUUUUACUA
Molecule: long non-coding RNA, 645 nt
Organism: Musa acuminata AAA Group (dessert banana)
Lineage: Eukaryota; Viridiplantae; Streptophyta; Magnoliopsida; Zingiberales; Musaceae
Exons: 3
Source: RefSeq, a predicted model, not a curated record